Melanotaenia boesemani (Boeseman's rainbowfish) is the source of this 478-nucleotide long non-coding RNA. RefSeq lists it as uncharacterized. Lineage: Eukaryota; Metazoa; Chordata; Actinopteri; Atheriniformes; Melanotaeniidae. The transcript is spliced from 4 exons. The record is from RefSeq and is a predicted model, not a curated record.
CAGUCCAAACAGAUGGGAAGUUGGAGAUUUUAGGAAGCAGCCGGAGAAAGGAAAAUGUAUUGCCCUUUUUGUGGAUUCAGCUUGGAGUCACUAACUCCAUUUUGCAGUUCAUGUGGCAAGGAUAUCAAAUUCUUGACUCAUGAUAAGACUGGAACAUCUGAAGGUAGCACAGUAAAGUGUGCAGUGGAGUCAUUCCACAAGUUCCGCAGUUUAAAAGAGAAGGAGAGGCAGUCAUUCUUCAAAAAGAAAAAAAGACCUCUGAAAGAGAGCAGUGUGAAGAUUUCAGUUGCCCUGAUGCAACUGAAAGAUGGAGCACUAAAACCUGUAAGAGGAACAGCUCUACCACUCGUAGUGAAUCCAGAGCUGGAUGCUGAGCACUUGCAAAUAGCAGCUGUACAAAAAUUGAAGGACUUCAACAGCAAUUUGCAAGGCGGACCUUACUUCCUACUUUACCCUGAUGGUACAAGGAUAAUUAACA